Dipodomys spectabilis (banner-tailed kangaroo rat) is the source of this 98-nucleotide long non-coding RNA. RefSeq lists it as uncharacterized. The transcript has 3 exons. The record is from RefSeq and is a predicted model, not a curated record. Lineage: Eukaryota; Metazoa; Chordata; Mammalia; Rodentia; Heteromyidae.
GAAGAUUUCUGCCUUUGUAUUAAAGACUUAAAUUGUAAAUUAGAUUUUCAGAUUUCCAAUAACCAUUCAAGGAAUGUUACAUUGUGUAAAGUACACAA